GAAGUCCGCCAGGCAGCCGCUGCACGCCCCGCGCGUGUGGAGGAAAGUCCGGGCCCCACAGAGCAGGAUGCCGGCUAACGGCCGGGCGCAGCAAGUCGCAAGACCCAAGGCGACGGAAAGUGCAACAGAGAGCAGACCGCCGAUGGCCUCGCGAGAGGAUCAGGCAAGGGUGAAACGGCGAGGCAAGAGCUCACCGCGUCCGUGGCGACACGGGCGGCACGGCAAACCCCAUCCGGAGCAAGGCCAAAUAGGGAAGCUAUAGCGCUGCUCGCGCUGCUUCCGGGUAGGCCGCACGAGCGGCGUGGCAACACGCCGCCAAGAGGAAUGGCUGCCCACGACAGAACCCGGCUUAUCGGCGGACUUCCACC
This is a non-coding RNA of Betaproteobacteria bacterium CG2_30_68_42, 368 nucleotides long. NCBI's taxonomy places the organism in Bacteria, Pseudomonadati, Pseudomonadota, Betaproteobacteria. The record is from Rfam.